AUGAACGCUGGCGGCGUGCCUAAUACAUGCAAGUCGAGCGAACAGACGAGGAGCUUGCUCCUCUGACGUUAGCGGCGGACGGGUGAGUAACACGUGGAUAACCUACCUAUAAGACUGGGAUAACUUCGGGAAACCGGAGCUAAUACCGGAUAAUAUAUUGAACCGCAUGGUUCAAUAGUGUAAGACGGUUUUGCUGUCACUUAUAGAUGGAUCCGCGCCGCAUUAGCUAGUUGGUAAGGUAACGGCUUACCAAGGCAACGAUGCGUAGCCGACCUGAGAGGGUGAUCGGCCACACUGGAACUGAGACACGGUCCAGACUCCUACGGGAGGCAGCAGUAGGGAAUCUUCCGCAAUGGGCGAAAGCUUGACGGAGCAACGCCGCGUGAGUGAUGAAGGUCUUCGGAUCGUAAAACUCUGUUAUUAGGGAAGAACAAAUGUGUAAGUAACUAUGCACGUCUUGACGGUACCUAAUCAGAAAGCCACGGCUAACUACGUG
RNAcentral lists this ribosomal RNA (496 nucleotides) under uncultured bacterium. Its description in RNAcentral is "partial 16S ribosomal RNA". It matches the Rfam family "Bacterial small subunit ribosomal RNA", at positions 29 to 507 of the family's 1533-position model. The record is from RNAcentral.